UACGUAGGGGGCGAGCGUUGUCCGGAAUUAUUGGGCGUAAAGAGCGCGCAGGCGGCUGGUCAAGUCCGAUGUGAAAUCUCCCGGCUUAACUGGGAAACUGCAUCGGAAACUGAUCGGCUUGAAGGUGGGAGAGGGUAGUGGAAUUCCCGGUGUAGUGGUGAAAUGCGUAGAUAUCGGGAGGAACACCAGUGGCGAAGGCGACUACCUGGCCCAUUCUUGACGCUGAGGCGCGAAAGCUAGGGGAGCGAACGGG
This 253-nucleotide ribosomal RNA is filed under the name uncultured bacterium. Its description in RNAcentral is "partial 16S ribosomal RNA". It matches the Rfam family "Bacterial small subunit ribosomal RNA", at positions 524 to 776 of the family's 1533-position model. The record is from RNAcentral.